Tachyglossus aculeatus (Australian echidna) is the source of this 479-nucleotide long non-coding RNA. RefSeq lists it as uncharacterized. The record is from RefSeq and is a predicted model, not a curated record. NCBI's taxonomy places the organism in Eukaryota, Metazoa, Chordata, Mammalia, Monotremata, Tachyglossidae. The transcript has 3 exons.
CCCGGUCGCUUCUCCUUAUUGCGUCCGGGCCUCUCCCUGUCAGAAGGCCAGGCGAAAGGCCAGCCCAUCCCGGCCAUUCCCAAAGCAAGGCGAAAGGCCAGCCCAUCCCGGCUAUUCCCAAAAGAGCGAAACAACGAUAUGGACCGCAACCUGAGAAGACACUAUAAGCACAUGAACUACAGAUGCCUGGGAAGAAAGACUUGGGUUCCACCCAAAGCCAAGAAUACUGGAUGGAGACGAAGAAACAGGAGGCGUUCUAGGGAACUCCUGGAGGCAAUGAGCCUCACCCCUCAAAGGCACGUGCACUCUGGGACAUUUUCCCUCCGCUACCGGCAGAACUUCAGAUUGCGUGGGGCGUAAGCCAGUCAUUAGGAAGGAAGACACCCUAUAAAAGGAAGAUCCUCAGUGGGCGACGAUGCUGAAUGGGGGAUACAGUUCCUACUCCCCACAGUUAAAUAAAUUGGAGUCCAUUUGAAACA